UGUGUGCAAAGAAGGGGGAAAAACAGCAAUGCGGAGAGAAAACAGUGAAUCAAGCUGCAAACCAACAAUAAUUCACACAACGCAGCAGAUUGUGCCUUCUGUUGUGACAGGAGCUUCGAGGAGGUGCUUAGCAGAGGUCAAACAGGCCACCAGCUUCUGACGAGAGGCGCUGCGUGCAAAGAAGAACUCAUGGGACAUCCCUGCCAGUAUAGCCCCGAGCACCGGCCCGAUCCAGUAAACCUGCAGUGGUCUUCCCAGAAGCCUGUGAUGAUGGCUGGACCCAGCGAGCGGGCGGGAUUCAUACUCGCGCCAGAGAACCGAGCCUGAAGAAAAACAACAUCACAAUAAGGCUUUUUG
This is a long non-coding RNA of Oreochromis aureus, 357 nucleotides long. RefSeq lists it as uncharacterized. The transcript has 3 exons. NCBI's taxonomy places the organism in Eukaryota, Metazoa, Chordata, Actinopteri, Cichliformes, Cichlidae. The record is from RefSeq and is a predicted model, not a curated record.